UUUUUUUUUGCCCUGCCCCUCUGCCAUCCUGUUCCUGCCAUGGAGCUGGUUGCCCAUGGACUGAAAUCAGAAGCCAAAAAUAAACGUCUUCUCCUUUAAAUCAUACAGUUUCAGUGGAUUUUGAAGAAGUAAGUUAAACAUGUUAAAAUGUACACCACCUUCUGAUUAGUUUGCUGGGACAAAGAACAAUACAAGCUGCCACCCAGGUUGCAGAUUACGCGAUGUGCUACAACUCCAGAUUUCUUCAAAGUCUUCUCAAGUUUUGUCUUUAGGUCAAGUACCUCCUUGAUAUAAUGUAAAAGUAAGGAUUAAAUUGUCAACCAAAAAAAAAAAAAAAAACGGAAGGAGUGUUGUUUAUGCUGUGAGUUUUUCUUUAUAUAGCUUUGAUUUACUACUAUGGAAAUUAGCAAAUCAUAAAGGGAAUUUAUUAAAUCCUGAAGGGCCAGAAAACUUCUUUUGGUGGAAUCACCCAAGAAAUGGCAUUUCUUUUUUUUUAACUAGUCAGAAACUAUCUUUUGGGGGGUGAAUAGAAACAAAAGAAUAAAAGGCUAAUUGUUAUUGAAAUGUUUGUUACAUUUGGAAAAAAAUUCUAUUUUUACAG
Molecule: long non-coding RNA, 601 nt
Filed under: Heterocephalus glaber (naked mole-rat)
Lineage: Eukaryota; Metazoa; Chordata; Mammalia; Rodentia; Bathyergidae
Description: lncRNA (ENSHGLG00000035391.1)
Source: RNAcentral